AAAAAAUCCAUUAUUUUACUGAUAAAACUCAUUUAUUAUUAGGAGGGGUUAAGCUUAGACAUUUAAAGGUAGGUGCUGAUGGGCAAUGGAAGGGCAAGGAUUACAAUAGCAUUGCCCAUCAAUGCAACAAUUAGGGAAGCCAUUACACACUUGAUUGCAAUCUAUCGUCCUAGGACAUCUUAAAUGAAAUGCUUCUGCUCCUCCUUCAUAUUCCCCCCACAAACCAGAAGAGGCAAGAAAGAAGAUAACAAAAAAUGCUGUCGACUUGAGUGAAAUUCUUUCCAUUGUCUACAAUUGAGAAGAAGUUUGAAAGUUGUGUACAUGAUUUGGCUUUCAAGAAGCUCCUCCUUCUCCUCCUCUGCAAUAUCUAUAAAAGUGAUUUAUGUAUAAAUUUUGGAUUUUAUCAGAUUUUCUUUACUUCUCAACAAAAUCUGGUUCCAUUAAAUGUGAUUUCACCAGAUUUCCCUAUUUAACUUUAACUCUUUGUAAGGGAAGAACCCACCCACCUAUGAUGGGUGGUUACCCUUAACUCAUGGAAAGUUGUCAGAACUCGUCUUAAAUUUGAGUAAAAUAAAUAUAUAUAUUAUGAUUCGAAUCAAUUCUAAAUCUUAUUACUACUAUCAUAAUCCGAAAUUUGGAGAAAUUUAAGUAUGAUAAUAAAAAUUUUAAGAAACAAUUCAGCAUAUCAUACUAAACAUUGACCAAAAUUUAUACAAUUCAAUAUAUAAAACAUGAUAAAAAUAUUACUAAUAUGACGAGAUUAAUUAUAACAUUUGGAAACAAAAUAAUAAAUAAAUUUAUUUGAUCUAGCCUGGUUUAUGUCUAGUGAAUAGGCAUAUCACUUAUAUAAACUUGGAUAUGAGUCCCACUCCUACUUAGAAAUGAAAGACAAUAUUUAUAAUAACAUUUUAACACUAAUCUAAUUAUACCCAUUUAAAUUAUACCAUUUGAAAACAAAAUAAUAAUUUAAUUAUACCCAAUUUGCAGUAACCCAAACAUCUGUGAAAU
This 1008-nucleotide unclassified non-coding RNA is filed under the name Hevea brasiliensis (rubber tree). Lineage: Eukaryota; Viridiplantae; Streptophyta; Magnoliopsida; Malpighiales; Euphorbiaceae. The record is from RNAcentral.